AGCACACUUAAACAAAGUUAACGCCUUGGCCAUUUUUCCUAUCAUAGAGAGAAACCUCGAGCUUUUCUUCAUUUCAAGCAAAAUCUGGAGCUUUUCUUCACAAUCUUCUCAAAACACUUAGCCAUAACAAAUCACCAUCUUUCAAAGUCUGGAUUUAGGUUCUAUUCGAUUUGAGUUCUACUCGAUUAGGGUUCGAUUUGGGGGUUUUUCAUUCUGCACAAAUCACCGCCUAAUUUUUUUCGUCGAAGUUAAACUUCCCACUUUUUUCUUUCCCACACAUCGUACUACAAUUUUGCAUUUUCGCUCGACCCGCCUCUAUUUUUCAAUUGACCUCUCUCUCUCUGCGCAUAUGUUUAGGGUUUGAACCCUAAGUCGUCGUCGUCUCUCCCCAAACCCCCAACCAAGCCUCUGUUCCUAAACGCCUCCGACCCCCUUCACGAUGCCAUUGAGGAGCUCCAGCGCCGCCAUCGCACUGAUGUUGCGCGUGGCUCGCAGCACCACCCGCCCAGCGACCAUGCGAACGACGAGUUAUGCGCCGCGCACGCGAUUGGGAACCUCUGCCAGAACCUCCGGUAUGCUCGCUACCUGCGUCAUCCAACCCCCAUCGAUAUGAUCAAGAUCUAUGAUUUGUUUGGCUCUGUUGCUGGAGGAGAGGGUGGUUUUGAAAUGGAGGAAGAACAAGGAUGUUGUUCUGUGGUUUGGGUUGUCACUGUUUCUGCAUUUUCCUCUUGCUUCGUCACUGAACGAUGAAGAGACUUGCAGGGGAAUAAACUAACUGGUCAAAUCCCGGAUGAGAUUGGCAACUGUGCUUCUCUUAUGUAUCUGAUGGCACCAUCUAGAAUUCAUGUUACUUGUGCACUAGUUUAUGACAAAACAUCAACAGGAAGGAUUCACAAAGGAGUGUGUUCAACCUGGAUGAAGAAUUAUGUGCCUUCGACAAAAAGUGAUGAUUGUAGUUGGGCAUAAUCAUCGCAAGCUGAUACCUGAUACUGAUUCUAGUGUCAACUUUAAUGUUGUCAAAUAAACCUCAGAUUGCUGGGAAACUACCAAAUAAGUCUCGUAGAAUCAUUUAUUGAAGUUGAUUGUGCAAAUGUAGGGGAUAUUGUAGUGAAAACUGAUUGUGGUAUGUCCUUUGUUUCACUUGAGUAUUCACAGGAAGCUCAACAUGGCUGCGGAUUUGUUUGAGGGAAUGUUCAGCUCCAGAUUUUAUUUUUAGUUAGUCAUUACAGCCAAAAAAAGUCCCAUCUCAUUUCAGGAAAGAACAGAACCAGAUCAAGCAAGUAGGGAGCAUGUCAUAGCUUCCGACAUCUGGAACAUGCUAUCUCAAGGAGGUUAUAUUUAGCAUGGACAGUCGGUGCAAUAGAUGUGUUGGAGAGAAGCACUCGGGUUCAGUAGCUUGAUGGAACUGUUGUACCACUAUGAUCUUCUCCAUUGGAGGUAACUUUGAGUGAUUCUCCCUUUUGUGUGUUUUUUAUGAAAUUAUCAGCUUUGGGAAACUUUCAAGGCAGAGAAUCUCAUUUUUGAUGCAUACUUGGUGUAGGUUUUUCAGGAACUAUAUGGUGGACUGUUGCAUAAAGAGUCAUUGGAAGAUCAAGCAUGGAGUACCCGGCAUUGCAGCAAGCUAUAUUUUCUUUCAUCAUGUAAAACUUAGCUAAAAAACUUAAAAGCUUCUUAGUCUAUGAGAUGUAUGAAUGCUUUAACAAUGUUCCUUAAAUUCAAUAUUUGAUGAAUUGAUGUAUCACAAUGCUUUUGGUACAAAUAUUGAUCAUUUGAUGGUUUGCAUUCAAUUUG
Long non-coding RNA from Rosa rugosa (rugosa rose), 1791 nucleotides. RefSeq lists it as uncharacterized. The record is from RefSeq and is a predicted model, not a curated record. NCBI's taxonomy places the organism in Eukaryota, Viridiplantae, Streptophyta, Magnoliopsida, Rosales, Rosaceae. The transcript has 8 exons.